RNAcentral lists this ribosomal RNA (466 nucleotides) under uncultured bacterium. RNAcentral describes it as "partial 16S ribosomal RNA". It matches the Rfam family "Bacterial small subunit ribosomal RNA", at positions 28 to 507 of the family's 1533-position model. The record is from RNAcentral.
GACGAACGCUGGCGGCGCGCCUAACACAUGCAAGUCGAACGAGCGAGAGAGAGCUUGCUUUCUUGAGCGAGUGGCGAACGGGUGAGUAACGCGUGAGGAACCUGCCUCAAAGAGUGGGACAACAGUUGGAAACGACUGCUAAUACCGCAUAAGCCCACGGUGCCGCAUGGCACAGAGGGAAAAGGAGCAAUCCGCUUUGAGAUGGCCUCGCGUCCGAUUAGCUAGUUGGUGAGGUAACGGCCCACCAAGGCGACGAUCGGUAGCCGGACUGAGAGGUUGAACGGCCACAGUGGGACUGAGACACGGCCCAGACUCCUACGGGAGGCAGCAGUGGGGAAUAUUGCACAAUGGGGGAAACCCUGAUGCAGCGACGCCGCGUGGAGGAAGAAGGUCUUCGGAUUGUAAACUCCUGUUGUUGGGGAAGAUAAUGACGGUACCCAACAAGGAAGUGACGGCUAACUACGUG